UGGCCCCUACGGGGGGCAGCAGUAGGGAAUUUUCGUCAAUGGGCGCAAGCCUGAACGAGCAAUGCCGCGUGAACGAGGAAGGUCUUCGGAUCGUAAAGUUCUGUUGAAGGGGAAAAAGAGCGGAGAGAGGAAAUGAACUCCGAUUGAUAUUACCCUUCGAGGAAGUCACGGCUAACUACGUGCCAGCAGCCGCGGUAAUACGUAGGUGGCGAGCGUUAUCCGGAAUGAUUGGGCGUAAAGGGUGCGUAGGCGGCCUGCUAAGUCUGGAGUGAAAGUUACCGGCUCAACAGGUACAGGUUCUGGAA
Molecule: ribosomal RNA, 305 nt
Filed under: uncultured bacterium
Lineage: Bacteria
Description: bacterial SSU rRNA
Rfam family: Bacterial small subunit ribosomal RNA
Source: RNAcentral